RNAcentral lists this small RNA (1544 nucleotides) under Pan troglodytes (chimpanzee). RNAcentral's name for it is "processed transcript". The record is from RNAcentral. Lineage: Eukaryota; Metazoa; Chordata; Mammalia; Primates; Hominidae.
GGCGCCUGCACUGGGCCUCUGGUCCUGUGUAGGGGCUGGGCAUGGAGGCAGGGCUCGGCGUUCCCUGCCCUGUGCUUACAGUCAGUGGCGAGGCAGAGACUUCUUAAACAGAUAGAGGCACCAGAUGGAAAUGGAAGGACUGUGUGUGUUGCCCAGAGCAACCUCCUAAUCCAGCUCCAACCCAACCCAGAAAGGCUUCUGGAGGAGGUGGUACCUGCCCCAGCUUUCCAUUCAUUCCAAGUGGAGAGGGGACUGCAGGGCCAAGGAGGGGAAGGAAAAGUGGUUUCUGGCUUGGGGAGCAGCUGUGGUUGCCUGUCAUGAGGUGGGAACGCUCCAGGAGCACGCCUGGAGGAGAUAGCAUGUCGAGUUUGAACUGCCCGUAGAUGUCCAUGUGUGGGCUCACUGAAGGCAGGACCCACACUCCUGUUGUGAUCACUGCUGUGCCCCAGAGCCCAUAUGCAGACCUGGCCCAGAGCUGGCACCGGGGGUCUGCUGCCAUGGGGGAGAAUUCCAAGGGAGGUGCCCAGCAGGUGGACUGGAUUCUAGGACUGGAGCUAUGGGUAGGGAAUGGAGUCCAGGGCACACCCCACUAGGCUGAUGCUGCUUCCUUGCGGCCCCUACCCCCUAGAACAACCAGCUGGAAAAGAUCUACCCUGAGGAGCUCUCCCGGCUGCACCGGCUGGAGACGCUGAACCUGCAAAACAACCGCCUGACUUCCCGAGGCACCUGUAAUCCGAGCUACUCAGGAGGCUGAGGCAGAAGAAUCACAUGAACCCAGGAGGCGGAGGUUGCAGUGAGCUGAGAUCACACCAUUGCACUCCAGUCUGGGCAAUAAGAGUGAAAAAAGCUGUCUAACUAAAGCAAGCUCCUCCAACAAGACCAAGACAGCAUCUCUCCUUCUAAGGCUUAGGAUUUGCCCAGAAUUCCUGAUACAUGGACUAGCCCAUACCAACAGUCAUGGCUCCUAUAACAAAGCCUUGAGCUGCCACAUGCAUGUGGAUCAGAUGAAGGGACAUUUUCGUGUUUCCCAUGCUCUUCAAUUUGUGUAAUCCCUAUGCAACAAUGGCUGCAAAGCCUGCCAUUCCAAUGGGACAAAUGGUGCCUCUUUAGCUUUCUGAAGAAGUUUGGAUCCCUGAUCUUCAUCAUGUGAAAAAUGGGAAACCUCUGUGUCUGCUGACAUAGUGAUUGGUUGAAGGAUCUCCCUAGAGCGAGAAAAUCUCUUACACGCCAGCCAGCUUCUGAUCCCUCCCGUGCACCCCAGGCAGGUGUUUCUAAGACCUGGGGGAUGCGCAGGAGAGAGGCUUCAGAGAAGCUGAGCUUCCAGAACCUUGUCACAGGAUCUUUGGUUCCGAGGGCCUUUAGAACCCAAGAGUUGUAGAGUCCUCACAUUUUAAAAAGAUUUUUUUUUCCUGAUGACGAAAAUAACAUCUGACUGGGAUAGAAACUUUGUAAAAUAAAAUGGAAAGAGAAAAUUUCUCAUAAUUUUGCCACUUGGAAUUAACUACUAUUGACAUUUUGGUAAAUUUGUUUCCAUUUUUAAAAAA